RNAcentral lists this non-coding RNA (55 nucleotides) under unclassified sequences. The record is from RNAcentral.
UCUGUAAUGUAACCAAAGACGGUUGUAAGUCCGUUUGAGAAAUACAGAACACAGA